Molecule: long non-coding RNA, 320 nt
Filed under: Sorghum bicolor (sorghum)
Lineage: Eukaryota; Viridiplantae; Streptophyta; Magnoliopsida; Poales; Poaceae
Description: long non-coding RNA (SBIC_LNC004531)
Source: RNAcentral
CCUAGCCCCCUUCUCAUCUCUUUCUAUGGUUAGUGCUCUGAUGUCCCGAUAUAGAUAAUCUUGAAGUAAUUCUUGAUUCUUAGAUCAACUAGAGAACUCUCAGGAAACUUCCUCUCUUCCCACCAAAAACAAUUAUAUAGUUAUCCUUGGGCGAUCUUGAUUCUUAAUUAGUACACUCACGUUCCCUGUGGAAAAUAGAUACUCUGGAAUACUCCCGGGUGAAGGCUACAUCGGUAUCCGUGCGCUUGCGGAUUUUUAUGUUUGCGUUUAAAAUACCCAACACUUACAUCUAGCAGCUUUUCUAGGACAUAGUCAGCCCC